GCCAAACCUUAGCCCAACCACAAUCACAAAUAACCCAUAUUCACAAAACAAACCAUUUGCAAACAUUAGUAUAUGCGAUAGAACAUAACCACCACUUUGGCGCGAUAGAACAAGUACCGCAAGGGAACACUGAAAGAACAAUGAAACAACAAAGCAAUACAAAGCAAAGACUAGCCCUUGUACCUUUUGCAUCAUGGUUUAGCCAGAAGCCACGGACAAAGAGAACUUUAGCCUGUUCCCCCGAAACUAAGUGAGCUACUACUUGGCAACCAAUUAGGGUGAACCCGUCUCUGUGACAAAAGAGUGGGAUGACCUUGUAGUAGGGGUAAAAAGCCUAACGAACUUAGUGAUAGCUGGUUGCUCAAUUAAAAGAAUUUAAGUUCAACUUUAGGCCCAAUUAGACCAAAUAUAGUCUACCAUUCAACCUAAAAGAUAUUCAAUGAAGGUACAGCUUCAUUGAAACAGGAUACAACCUGAAUUAGCGAGACAGUAAAUAAACCGCGACCAGUAGGCCUUAAAGCCGCCACCAAUAAAUAAAGCGUCACAGCACAAAUAUAAAGAUACCUAAAACACAACACAAGCUCCUAAUUACACACCGAGCCACACUAUAAUAAUAGACGCACUAAUGCUAAAACUAGUAACAAGAAGCCCACUCUCCUAGCACACCCUUGACUCGGCAAUAGAAAACCUACCGAACAUUAACGGACCAAAAAAGGAAAAACACACAAAGCCAAGCCUGUAACCUAGACUGUCAAGCCAACACCGGAGUGCUACAAGGAAAGAUUUAAAGUCGCAAAAGGAACUCAGCAAAAACCUGUCCCAACUGUUUACCAAAAACAUAGCCUUUAGCAAAACAAGUAUUAAAGGUCCCGCCUGCCCAGUGAACUAUUUAAACGGCCGCGGUAUUCUAACCGUGCAAAGGUAGCGUAAUCACUUGUCUUCUAAAUAAAGACCAGUAUGAACGGCUAAAUGAGGACAAACCUGUCUCUUGCAACCAAUCAGUGAAACUGAUCUCCCGAUCCAAAAGCCGGGAUAACCCCACAAGACGAGAAGACCCUGUGGAGCUUUAAACAAACUAUUAUACACACCAUUGUGCAACUAAUAGGAAGUUUUGAGUUGGGGCGACUUCGGAACCAAAAAAAACUUCCGAGCACAGAACCACCCGUUCUUACCAAGACCAACACAUCAAAGUCCUAAGACGACCCAGUAACACUGACCAACGAACCAAGUUACCCCAGGGAUAACAGCGCCAUCUUCUUCAAGAGUUCAUAUCGACAAGAAGGUUUACGACCUCGAUGUUGGAUCAGGACACCCCAAUGGUGCAGCCGCUAUUAAAGGUUCGUUUGUUCAACGAUUAACAGUCCUACGUGAUCUGAGUUCAGACCGGAGCAAUCCAGGUCGGUUUCUAUCUAUGUAGCCACCCUCUUCAGUACGAAAGGACAAAGAGGGGGGGACCAAUGCUACAAGCACGUCCCAGCCCAUCAACUGAACAAAACUAAAGUUAAACAGCUAUCAACCACGACCAAAGAUCGUGGUUUU
Molecule: ribosomal RNA, 1539 nt
Filed under: Plestiodon liui
Lineage: Eukaryota; Metazoa; Chordata; Lepidosauria; Squamata; Scincidae
Description: 16S ribosomal RNA
Rfam family: Bacterial large subunit ribosomal RNA
Source: RNAcentral